UACGUAGGGGUCGAGCGUUGUCCGGACUUACUGGGCGUAAAGCGCGCGUAGGCGGUUAUUUAAGUUGGAUGUGAAAGCCCUCGGCUUAACUGAGGAAGUGCAUCCAAAACUGGAAUAGCUAGAGUACGAAAGAGGGUCGCGGAAUUCCCGGUGUAGAGGUGAAAUUCGUAGAUAUCGGGAGGAACACCGGUGGCGAAGGCGGCGACCUGGGUCGAGACUGACGCUGAGGCGCGAAAGCGUGGGGAGCAAACAGGG
This 255-nucleotide ribosomal RNA is filed under the name uncultured bacterium. RNAcentral's name for it is "partial 16S ribosomal RNA". It matches the Rfam family "Bacterial small subunit ribosomal RNA", at positions 524 to 777 of the family's 1533-position model. The record is from RNAcentral.